CGGGGGGCGUCCAGAGGUGUGGGAGGGGCAGACUGGGGUGCCCUCCAGGAAUCGGAAGGCGGCCAGGGAGAGAACGCAGCCGGCUGCGCUGGGGCGGCCUUCGCCCUCCUGGCAGCGGGAUCCUGGCGUGACCUCCAAAUGGCCCAGCUCCUCCUGGCACUGAAACUGAAGAAAGUGGUAACAUGAACUGUCCCCUCUGAUCUUUGCUUUGGCAACUGAGAAGCUCAGAGCCUAAUUUUCAGCUUUCAGCUCUUGUAUAUGAGCAUAAUCUUAAAUCAUCUCAGAAGGACAAGGUCCGCCAGUUCAUGGCAUUUACUCAGGCUGGCAAGAGAAGUGCCGCCCACUGCUUAGAGCAGAGCAAGUAGACGGCAGACCUGGCCACGGACAGCUGCUUCCUGCACCUGAGCGUGUUCACAGGGAAUCCAUGAGCGCCUCCGUGGACAGGAAGAGACUGGAGCGGCUGUGUAACAUGUCCCAAGACCCACAAGAUGAAAAUAAAAUUGGAAUUGAUGGAAUUCAACAGUUUUGUGAUGAUUUAAGCCUAGAUCCUGCCAGUAUCACAGUUUUGCUUAUAGCUUGGAAAUUCAGGGCUUCAACUCAAUGUGAAUUUAGCAAAAAGGAAUUUGUAGACGGCAUGACAGAACUUGGGAAAAAGAAAAGGUGCUUUUACUCAGGAGGCCACAACAUGGGGAGAUGGGAGACUGGUGUCCUCAGACCACCUCUGUUGCUGGUUAGGGGCCAGAAAAUUGAAAGUGGAGUGUCAGUCAGCUCCAGUAAUCCUCUGGAGAUUCGUCCUGCAGUGGUCUGGUCGGUGUCAUCUCCAUGGUUUUCUGCUUCUGUCCUCUUAAGGCCCUGGAGUUCUGUGGAUACACAUCCUGUGAGUUCCCGGUUCCCCAGCUCCAGCCCAAGGCAGGCAGAGCAGGAUGGUAUUAGCACCUGGGAUCACAUUCCCUGAAGACCUCAUAUGAUGUGUCCACUAGAGACAUUUUGACACAGAGAAACCAACCAGUAUGUGGAUGAGUGAGACAGCAAGGCGGGAAGGUCUUGUAAAUGAAUUAAAGAGCAAGGGGGAGAGGGAAGAGUGGGGGCAGGAGGAAUCUGAAGACCGUCUCUCAGUGGUAAAAGUUUUGUUUUACCAGGACAGUAAUAGUUUAUUUAAAGCAGAAAUUAAAACUCUAAAAAAAAUGAUAUAAAUCUGCCAGCACAGUGGGGAGUAUGUCCUCCCAUCUUCUCACACACAUCUUACCAAUUGGUAGACUAAGUGGGUGAAGAAUCAGUGGUAAAUAGAAGAUUCAGAAAAGGAAAUAGAACGUUGCCUUGAUGUUUAGGAAUACAUAGUCUUUUCAAAAAGAACAUUUAUGAAUAUUGACCAUAAACAGGGCCAUAAGGUAAGGUACAGCAAUGUCCCAGAGUUGAAGUGACACAGAACGUGUUCUCUGACCACAGUACAACUAAGAAAGGAAUAUAACAGAAAGUUCGCUAGAUAGGUUGGAAUCUGUGUGGAUUCUGUACCUCUGAAUAACCCUUGGGUUGAGAAAGAAGUUACAGCAGAAAUUAAAGUAUUUUGAGGGAUGAAACUAUGAGAACAUGUAGGAGUCAGCUUCUUAGAUGCAUAUUUUAGAAAGUUGAAACUCAGUAAGGAAAGCAUCCAUCUCAGCAAGUAGUGAAAAGGACAGGAGAUUAAAACUCAGUGCAGACAGAGGGAAUUAAAAUUUUUAAACAGGCAGUAAUUUAAUGAUUUUUUUAAAAAGCUAUAAGUAGAAAGGAUUCUUAAAGCCAAAAACUUGACAUUUGAGAAGACCAGUAAAGUAAUGAAUGCCACAUAAGCCAUAUAGAAAGAAAGGGGACAUUGCUAUAAACCCUACAAAUAAAAUGAGCCUAUUAUGAACAACUGUAUGUUUAUAAAUUUGAAAGCUUAAAUGAAAUACAGAAGUUCUUUUAAAAAUGACAACUUACUGAAAUGGGCCUGUGAAGACAUAGUUCCGUAACUCUUAGAGAAUCAGAACCCAUAAUUUAAAAUCUUUUCAACGAGAAAACUUGAGGCCAUGGUUGGUUCACUGGCACAUCUUCCCCAACUUUUAAUAAAGAGAAUAACACCAGUUUCACACCAGAGAAGAGUACAGGAAAAAACACUCCUAGCAUGUUUUGAGGCCAGCAUAGCCUCAAUAGUAAGACCUAGAAAGGACAUGUUGAAAAGAGAAAAUUAUAAGCUGCUCUCAGUCAUAAGAAUCAAAAGACACAUAUGAUGAACAGAAGAUGCAAAAAUACUAACCAGAUUUUCAGCAAAAUAAAUCAAGCCUCCAAAGCGAGUCAACCAAAAAUCAGGAUUAAUCAUCAUGACAGUUUGUUGUAGCCCAGAAAUGCAAGAUCUGUUUAACAUUACAAAGUCAAUUAAUGUAAUUCAUUGUAGUAACAGAAAAGGGAGGGGUGGGUAUUUUAUCAGCAUGUAACAGGGCACUUGCAGUGAUUAGCAGUAUGUGGGGUGGGGCAGGAUGAGAGCCAGUAAAUAAACCCGUGUUUCCAGAACACUGGAUUUAUGGCAGAGGUAGCCUUUUAGAGAUGUGGAGAAAAAAUGGCUUUUCACGAAAGGGUCCUGAGGGAACUGGCUAGUCGUGUGGGAAAAGGUGUCUUCCCUGGUGGCUCAGAUGGUGAAGAGCUCACCUGCAAAGCAGGAGACCCAGGUUCAAUCCCUUGGUGGGAAGAUCUCCUGGAGAAGGAAAUGGCCACCCACUCCAGCAUUCUUGCUUAGAGAAUUCCAUGGACGGUGGAGCCUGGCGGGCUGCAGUCAAUGGGACCACAAAGAGUUGGACAUGACUGAGCGACUAACACUUUGAUGGGAGAAGGUUCGUCUUGGUCUCUGCCUCACACAGAACAUAAAUUCAGUUCAGUGAGCUGUAGAUCUCAGUGCGAAAGGCUGAAGGCAGAAACCUUUAGAAAAUGGGAGAAUACCUGCGGCCGUCCAGUAGCCCAGGUGGUGAAACAUCGGAAACCACUGCAGGGAAGACGAGUGAGUAAAUUGUUCUGCCCUGAAAUCAGAACUUCUGGCCAGAAAUAGCACCAGGAGGCAGCACGUGGGGAAGGGGGUGGGGGCUGUGAGAUGCUCUGCUGACAGGAUCCCCACAAAACAAGAAAAGGAUGACCUGGUUGAGAAUGGACAGGGACACACACACGACCACGCCCUUCACAGAAGAUGCUUUCCAAGGGGCCAGUGAAGAUACAAGCAGGAACUCAGCCUCACUCCUGGGGUGAGGUAGGGGGCUGCAGGUCAAGAGCACAUCAAAAUAGGACCUCCCAGGUCCUCUUGUAGGACAGCUGCUGAGUGUCGCUGUUGGGCAGUCACCCCGGAGAAGGGCUUGACAAGACUUGUGGAAUUGCGGGUGGGUGUCUGCCUCACACAUGCACUGUGUGCCGGGAUACACAUACGGGAACCUUCAACAUUCUUCAUGACCGGAAAACUGGAAGCAGCCGAAAUGCUUACCUGUAGCAAGCAGGGUUGCAGUGUGAGCACAGUGGCAUGCUGUGAGAUGACGGAGAUGGACGACCAGAGCCCGCGUGUCACGGAUGAGCCUCGCACACACAACGUUGGCACAGACGCCCAGACACAGAGUAGACCACGGGAGUCCCCGUUUGUUAACUGCAAAGCAGGGAUAACUGAUGGGCCUGCCAAGGAGGCGCUAGUGCUGUGAUGGAGGCGCGGGGAAGAGCCGGGUGACGGCCUGGAGGAGGGGGCGGUGGUCCCGCUCACUCGCCAGACACCGAGCCCCACGCCGGCUCCACCCGCCUCACCGGGGCACGCGGGUGAGUGACAUGUGGCUCUCAGCCUCCUCCUUGCCGGGCAGUCAAAAUAAACGACAGAUUUUAUGUUUCA
RNA transcript from Cervus elaphus (red deer), 3868 nucleotides. It is a transcript of the gene named defective in cullin neddylation 1 domain containing 2, with no coding region annotated. The record is from RefSeq and is a predicted model, not a curated record. The transcript is spliced from 5 exons. Lineage: Eukaryota; Metazoa; Chordata; Mammalia; Artiodactyla; Cervidae.